AUUUUAUGCAAAUAAGAUUUUUGAACUAUCAAAAUUCGCAAGCCUCAGAGCUUAGAAAUAAAUUU
This 65-nucleotide transfer RNA is filed under the name Longpotamon yangtsekiense. RNAcentral describes it as "tRNA-Trp". Lineage: Eukaryota; Metazoa; Arthropoda; Malacostraca; Decapoda; Potamidae. The record is from RNAcentral.